GGGCCCGCACAAGCGGUGGAGCAUGUGGUUUAAUUCGAUGAUACGCGAGGAACCUUACCAGGGCUUAAAUGGGAAAUGACAGGGGCAGAGACGCCCCCUUCUUCGGACAUUUUUCAAGGUGCUGCAUGGUUGUCGUCAGCUCGUGCCGUGAGGUGUCAGGUUAAGUCCCAUAACGAGCGCAACCCCUAUCUUUAGUUGCCAGCGGUUCGGCCGGGGACUCUAAAGAAACUGCCCGCGCAAGCGGUGAGGAAGGUGGGGAUGACGUCAAAUCAUCACGGCCCUUACGUCCUGGGCCACACACGUGCUACAAUGGCCGGUACAGAGAGCAGCCACUACGCGAGUAGGAGCGAAUCUACAAAACCGGUCUCAGUUCGGAUCGCAGUCUGCAACUCGACUGCGUG
RNAcentral lists this ribosomal RNA (401 nucleotides) under uncultured bacterium. Its description in RNAcentral is "bacterial SSU rRNA". It matches the Rfam family "Bacterial small subunit ribosomal RNA", at positions 917 to 1322 of the family's 1533-position model. The record is from RNAcentral.